GAUUAACGCUGGCGGCAUGCCUAAUACAUGCAAGUCGAACGGAAGCAGCAAUGCUUUAGUGGCGAACGGGUGAGUAACACGUAGGGAACCUACCUAUACGACGAGGAUAACUACUGGAAACGGUAGCUAAAACUGGAUAGGAUCAAUUGAGGCAUCUUGAUUGAUUUAAAGAUCCUUCGGGAUUACGUAGAGAUGGCCCUGCGGCGCAUUAGCUAGUUGGUGAGGUAACGGCCACCAAGGCGACGAUGCGUAGCUGAGCUGAGAGGCUAAACAGCCACACUGGGACUGAGACACGGCCCAGACUCCUACGGGAGGCAGCAGUAGGGAAUUUUCGGCAAUGGGGGAAACCCUGACCGAGCAAUGCCGCGUGAACGAUGAAGGUCUUCGGAUUGUAAAGUUCUGUGAUUGGGGAAGAAUGGUAUUCUUAGGGAAUGAGGAGUACAUGACGGUACCCGAUUAGAAAGCCCCGGCUAACUAUGUGCCAGCAGCCG
This 491-nucleotide ribosomal RNA is filed under the name uncultured bacterium. RNAcentral's name for it is "bacterial SSU rRNA". It matches the Rfam family "Bacterial small subunit ribosomal RNA", at positions 28 to 517 of the family's 1533-position model. The record is from RNAcentral.